AAACUUUCAACAACGGAUCUCUUGGCUCUGGCAUCGAUGAAGAACGCAGCGAAAUGCGAUAAGUAAUGUGAAUUGCAGAAUUCAGUGAAUCAUCGAAUCUUUGAACGCACAUUGCGCCCUCUGGUAUUCCGGGGGGCAUGCCUGUUCGAGCGUCAU
RNAcentral lists this ribosomal RNA (156 nucleotides) under uncultured Ascomycota. RNAcentral's name for it is "5.8S ribosomal RNA". It matches the Rfam family "5.8S ribosomal RNA". From Rfam's summary of the family: 5.8S ribosomal RNA (5.8S rRNA) is a component of the large subunit of the eukaryotic ribosome. It is transcribed by RNA polymerase I as part of the 45S precursor that also contains 18S and 28S rRNA. Functionally, it is thought that 5.8S rRNA may be involved in ribosome translocation. The record is from RNAcentral. Lineage: Eukaryota; Fungi; Ascomycota.